UAUGAUGUUUAAAAUUGGUGA
Molecule: non-coding RNA, 21 nt
Filed under: Caenorhabditis elegans
Lineage: Eukaryota; Metazoa; Nematoda; Chromadorea; Rhabditida; Rhabditidae
Source: RNAcentral